GAGUUUGAUCUUGGCUCAGAGCGAACGCUGGCGGCAGGCCUAACACAUGCAAGUCGAACGAUCCUUCGGGAUAGUGGCGGACGGGUGAGUAACACGUGGGAACGUGCCCUUUGGUUCGGAACAACUCAGGGAAACUUGAGCUAAUACCGUAUGUGCCCUUCGGGGAAAGAUUUAUCGCCAUUGGAGCGGCCCGCGUCUGAUUAGCUAGUUGGUGAGGUAAAGGCUCACCAAGGCGACGAUCAGUAGCUGGUCUGAGAGGAUGAUCAGCCACAUUGGGACUGAGACACGGCCCAAACUCCUACGGGAGGCAGCAGUGGGGAAUCUUGCGCAAUGGGCGAAAGCCUGACGCAGCCAUGCCGCGUGAAUGAUGAAGGUCUUAGGAUUGUAAAAUUCUUUCACCGGGGACGAUAAUGACGGUACCCGGAGAAGAAGCCCCGGCUAACUUCGUGCCAGCCGCCGCAGUAAG
This 466-nucleotide ribosomal RNA is filed under the name uncultured Alphaproteobacteria bacterium. RNAcentral describes it as "bacterial SSU rRNA". It matches the Rfam family "Bacterial small subunit ribosomal RNA", at positions 9 to 524 of the family's 1533-position model. Lineage: Bacteria; Pseudomonadati; Pseudomonadota; Alphaproteobacteria. The record is from RNAcentral.